RNAcentral lists this ribosomal RNA (286 nucleotides) under uncultured Methylomirabilota bacterium. RNAcentral describes it as "uncultured candidate division NC10 bacterium partial 16S ribosomal RNA". It matches the Rfam family "Bacterial small subunit ribosomal RNA", at positions 1060 to 1345 of the family's 1533-position model. The record is from RNAcentral. Lineage: Bacteria; Methylomirabilota (SeqCode).
UCGUGUCGUGAGAUGUUGGGUUAAGUCCCGCAACGAGCGCAACCCUCACCUCUUGUUGCCACCAGGUCAUGCUGGGCACUCUAGAGGAACUGCCCCGGUCAACGGGGAGGAAGGCGGGGAUGACGUCAAGUCAUCAUGCCCCUUACGUCCUGGGCUACACACGUGCUACAAUGGCCGGUACAAAGGGAUGCCACACCGCGAGGUAGAGCUAAACCCAAAAAGCCGGUCUAAGUUCAGAUUGGAGUCUGCAACUCGACUCCAUGAAGGAGGAAUCGCUAGUAAUCGC